CCUACGGGGGGCAGCAGUGGGGAAUAUUGGGCAAUGGGCGCAAGCCUGACCCAGCAACGCCGCGUGAAGGAAGAAGGCCUUCGGGUUGUAAACUUCUUUUCUCAAGGACGAAGAAAGUGACGGUACCUGAUGAAUAAGCCACGGCUAACUACGUGCCAGCAGCCGCGGUAAUACGUAGGUGGCAAGCGUUAUCCGGAUUUACUGGGUGUAAAGGGCGUGUAGGCGGGAGUGCAAGUCAGAUGUGAAAACCAAGGGCUCAACCCUGGGCCUGCAUUUGAAACUGUGGUUCUUGAGUGCUGGAGAGGCAGUCGGAAUGCCGGGUGUAGCGGUGAAAUGCGUAGAUAUACGGAGGAACACCAGUGGCGAAGGCGGAUUGCUGGACAAUAACUGACGCUGAGGCGCGAAAGCGUGGGGAGCAAACAGGAUUAGAUACCCUGGUAGUC
RNAcentral lists this ribosomal RNA (443 nucleotides) under uncultured bacterium. RNAcentral's name for it is "partial 16S ribosomal RNA". It matches the Rfam family "Bacterial small subunit ribosomal RNA", at positions 338 to 795 of the family's 1533-position model. The record is from RNAcentral.